RNAcentral lists this ribosomal RNA (301 nucleotides) under uncultured bacterium. RNAcentral's name for it is "partial 16S ribosomal RNA". It matches the Rfam family "Bacterial small subunit ribosomal RNA", at positions 509 to 809 of the family's 1533-position model. The record is from RNAcentral.
CAGCCGCCGCGGGAAUACGGAGGGUGCAAGCGUUAAUCGGAAUUACUGGGCGUAAAGCGCACGCAGGCGGUCUGACAAGUCAGAUGUGAAAUCCCCGGGCUUAACCUGGGAACUGCAUUUGAAACUGUCAGGCUGGAGUCUUGUAGAGGGGGGUGGAAUUCCAGGUGUAGCGGUGAAAUGCGUAGAGAUCUGGAGGAGUACCGGUGGCGAAGGCGGCUCCCUGGACAAAGACUGACGCUCAGGUGCGAAAGCGUGGGGAGCAAACAGGAUUAGAUACCCGCGUAGUCCCUGUCGCUUAUAC